CAUGGUUUCAUGCCCAAAACAGUUUAAUUGAAUUAGGCUGUGUGGCUGGUCUAUUUCAAACAGUCGAAAUACUGUUCGAAUUACCAAACGUAAUGGUUGAUGAACAUAGUCAGUGUGUGUCCCUUGUUCGUGGGCUUCGACUCACCGAACGCCGUUUCACUCCUGUUCGAAUAGCCUGAGUUCCAUGGAAAGUAACUGUUCAGCUGUGUUCGUGCCGUUGCGUGUCCGAUUUGAGUUCCAUUGUGCCGGAACCAGCCUCGCCACUGGGCAUUGGAGAAGACUGAUUGCCAGCCUCCUGCCCUGCGACUAUGGCCCUGGGAUGUAUUGCCCUUCUAGGAACUGAUUUGGGCAUAUUGUAUUUUAUAAUGCUGCUGCUGGC
Non-coding RNA from Pelobates cultripes (western spadefoot toad), 379 nucleotides. The record is from the annotation of a GenBank genome assembly. Lineage: Eukaryota; Metazoa; Chordata; Amphibia; Anura; Pelobatidae.